This 477-nucleotide ribosomal RNA is filed under the name uncultured anaerobic ammonium-oxidizing bacterium. RNAcentral describes it as "bacterial SSU rRNA". It matches the Rfam family "Bacterial small subunit ribosomal RNA", at positions 365 to 832 of the family's 1533-position model. The record is from RNAcentral.
UUCGCAAUGCCCGAAAGGGUGACGAAGCGACGCCGCGUGUGGGAAGAAGGCCUUCGGGCUGUAAACCACUGUCGGGAGUUAAGAAAUACAAGGAUAUGAAUAGUGUCUUUGUUUGACUAAGGCUCCGGAGGAAGCCACGGCUAACUCUGUGCCAGCAGCCGCGGUAAUACAGAGGCGGCAAGCGUUGUUCGGAAUUAUUGGGCGUAAAGAGCACGUAGGCGGCUCUGCAAGUCAGCUGUGAAAGCCUUCUGCUUAACGGAAGAACGGCAGUUGAAACUACAGGGCUUGAGUGCGGGAGGGGAGAGUGGAACUUCUGGUGGAGCGGUGAAAUGCGUAGAUAUCAGAAGGAACGCCGGCGGCGAAAGCGGCUCUCUGGCCCGUAACUGACGCUGAGUGUGCGAAAGCUAGGGGAGCAAACGGGAUUAGAUACCCCGGUAGUCCUAGCCGUAAACGAUGGGCACUAAGUAGAGGGGUUUU